RNAcentral lists this ribosomal RNA (525 nucleotides) under uncultured Actinomycetes bacterium. RNAcentral's name for it is "bacterial SSU rRNA". It matches the Rfam family "Bacterial small subunit ribosomal RNA", at positions 121 to 660 of the family's 1533-position model. Lineage: Bacteria; Bacillati; Actinomycetota; Actinomycetes. The record is from RNAcentral.
GUAACCUGCCCUUAACUCUGGGAUAAGCCUGGGAAACUGGGUCUAAUACCGGAUAGGAGCGUCCACCGCAUGGUGGGUGUUGGAAAGAUUUAUCGGUUUUGGAUGGACUCGCGGCCUAUCAGCUUGUUGGUGAGGUAAUGGCUCACCAAGGCGACGACGGGUAGCCGGCCUGAGAGGGUGACCGGCCACACUGGGACUGAGACACGGCCCAGACUCCUACGGGAGGCAGCAGUGGGGAAUAUUGCACAAUGGGCGCAAGCCUGAUGCAGCGACGCCGCGUGAGGGAUGACGGCCUUCGGGUUGUAAACCUCUUUCAGUAGGGAAGAAGCGAAAGUGACGGUACCUGCAGAAGAAGCACCGGCUAACUACGUGCCAGCAGCCGCGGUAAUACGUAGGGUGCGAGCGUUAUCCGGAAUUAUUGGGCGUAAAGAGCUCGUAGGCGGUUUGUCGCGUCUGUCGUGAAAGUCCGGGGCUUAGCCCCGGAUCUGCGGUGGGUACGGUCAGACUAGAGUGCAGUAGGGGAGA